Molecule: ribosomal RNA, 465 nt
Filed under: uncultured Klebsiella sp.
Lineage: Bacteria; Pseudomonadati; Pseudomonadota; Gammaproteobacteria; Enterobacterales; Enterobacteriaceae
Description: bacterial SSU rRNA
Rfam family: Bacterial small subunit ribosomal RNA
Source: RNAcentral
CCUACGGGAGGCUGCAGUGGGGAAUAUUGCACAAUGGGCGCAAGCCUGAUGCAGCCAUGCCGCGUGUGUGAAGAAGGCCUUCGGGUUGUAAAGCACUUUCAGCGGGGAGGAAGGCGGUGAGGUUAAUAACCUCAUCGAUUGACGUUACCCGCAGAAGAAGCACCGGCUAACUCCGUGCCAGCAGCCGCGGUAAUACGGAGGGUGCAAGCGUUAAUCGGAAUUACUGGGCGUAAAGCGCACGCAGGCGGUCUGUCAAGUCGGAUGUGAAAUCCCCGGGCUCAACCUGGGAACUGCAUUCGAAACUGGCAGGCUAGAGUCUUGUAGAGGUGGGUAGAAUUCCAGGUGUAGCGGUGAAAUGCGUAGAGAUCUGGAGGAAUACCGGUGGCGAAGGCGGCCCCCUGGACAAAGACUGACGCUCAGGUGCGAAAGCGUGGGGAGCAAACAGGAUUAGAUACCCGUGUAGUC